AUGGCGACCGGCGCACGGGUGAGUAACACGUAUCCAACCUGCCGAUAACUCGGGGAUAGCCUUUCGAAAGAAAGAUUAAUACCCGAUGGUAUAAUCAGACCGCAUGGUCUUGUUAUUAAAGAAUUUCGGUUAUCGAUGGGGAUGCGUUCCAUUAGGCAGUUGGUGAGGUAACGGCUCACCAAACCUUCGAUGGAUAGGGGCUCUGAGAGGAAGGUCCCCCACAUUGGAACUGAGACACGGUCCAA
RNAcentral lists this ribosomal RNA (245 nucleotides) under uncultured bacterium. RNAcentral's name for it is "partial 16S ribosomal RNA". It matches the Rfam family "Bacterial small subunit ribosomal RNA", at positions 88 to 334 of the family's 1533-position model. The record is from RNAcentral.